UCUUCGCAUUUGAAAUGUGUUUCACUUUGAAAGAUAGAUUUAAGGUAAAAUGAUUUUAGCAAACACGCUAUGGCGAUGGAUUCUGGUUGGCUUCUUGACAUGGAAUGCUAAGUUCUCUUAGCUGAACCCUCGUUGCUAUUUCUUAAUAUUAAGCAUUAUAUAAAUGCGCAAAUCACUCUUUUUGUGCGGUUCCAAAAAUGAAUUCUGUGUGGCAUAAUGGCAAUUCUUCAAAUUAGUUAUUCUAUACAACCAUCAAAGCACACAUUUCUCUAGAAGGAUCAAUUUUACUAUUUGUGUUUGAGAAUUUUGGAUGCUGAUGGGUCAAAAAUGAUGGACUUGUAGCAAUUGGUGAUACUUGAUUGCAUAGCCAAUUUUCCUAAAGUUUCCAUUUGUCUGCACCAUUACUGUGCAACUGAGGUCCAUUAAUUUUUUUUCAAGCAUAUGAUGAAUUAUGCUUCUUCUAUAGCUUGCAUUGUCGAAGAAGAGUUGUUUCCAUCCAACUAGAAAGCAAGUUCUUCUAAUGUUAUAGCUAUAAAUCGGGCCAAGUCGUGACUCGACGCAGAUUGAUUUGGUCAUGCCCGUGACAGAAUAUGUCUUGUCAUGUUGAACUCAAUCCGGCUAAGUUGAGUAGGGUGGUUAUUGGCUUGGCUCGUGAGUCGGGUGCAAUUUACUUGCUUGACCCAAGAAUUUCAAAACAAAAAAAAAAAUAGAAAACAAAAAAUACUUAAAAUAAAUUAUUUAUUUAAAAUAUUUUUUAUAUUUCUUUGUUUUUUAAAAUUUUCUCAUAUAUUUUUAAUAUUUUAUUUUUAACAAAUAUUAUGUUUAGUGGGCUUAGGUUUGUGUUGGGCAACCCUUGCUAAUAUUAGAGCUUGUGCCGGACACAACUGGUGAUAAAAAACCAUAUCAUGUCCAAUCUGUCUUGCAUGGUAUGUAAACAGGCCUUGGGCUUAUGCCUUGCUCGCCUUGAUUGAUCGUUUUGACACCUCUAUCUAAUCAACUCGCCAAUGUGCAUAGUUUUGGUUAGAACUUCAUGCAUUGGGAAGAAGGUUGCUGUCACUAGAUUGAGAAUGGUUAAUGCUAACUUGUUGCGGGUUCUCUUGAACUUGAAGUCAAUUUUCCUAGCUCACUCUAAUUCUUAUAUACACUAAUCUAAACUUUUUCGUUGAUAUGCAUCCUUUGCUGCAAUCAUCUAAAAUUUUCUCGUGUCACUAUAAUGAUUUAGAUCACACAUUUUGAAUUAUUUAUUCACACAAAUAUGUUGGUUCGCUAGAUCACACUACUUGUGCUCAAACUCAAUUGUUGUUGUGCAACUUGCACAUGGAUUGACCCUCCUACUUGGCAGUAAAAGUGGAGGGAGACUUCUUAUGCAGCAGUAACUUAAGUAUGUGACUUAACGAUGCCGAUGUAUGAAUUGUAAAAAUUCACUAGCAAAGUGUUACAUUGAACCAUGUGUGCCAUGCACUUUAAGUCUCAUUUGCUAAGUGUUCUUGUAAGUGCCACAUGGAUGCCAUGACAUGCUUAACAUGUGUCCGUGGGCACUAUGCUACUCGUGUGUUGCACUUGACUUGGAUUGUCAUAUGCUUUAUUCAUGAGUAUGCGUUACACAUGACUCUACUAUGAAAACACAUGGUGCCCCCUCCAACUCCACCUUUUAAUGAAGACAUGAUUUUAUGAAAGGAUUCAUAUUUAACUGUCUGAAUCUUCUUCCAAAUUUUAGGUACGACACUAAUGUUCCCUAUGAACUCUAAUAGCUUUCUUCUUCUUUCACCAUGUUUUGAAAGCUAUUCUGGAAUCCCUCUUUAUUUUGAAAGAUUCUAACAAUUUGAGGUUAAUGAUAAUAAGUAAUUUGAUUUACUUGAUCACGUCUCAGUGAUGUUUUCAGCUAAGAUAUUAUAUUUCUGAUUGCAAGUUUAUCUCUUUUUAGUUAUUUUUGUCUGCCAAUUAUCAUCAUGAAAUCAAUCAUGUGGGUCUUUGAUGUACUUUUUGAAAAAUGCUCGUACAAAGGAUUACAAUUUUGCAUAGAGUAAUCUGCAGAAAAAUAAUUUUUUACAGUUUGUGAUAAUUUCUGCUAUUUCUUCUGGGGUUUCUUUGAUGAAAAAUUACGAACAAGUUAGAAGAAUUAUGAAGACCACACAAUCCAUGCGUCUUUAUAUGUUAGACACUUUCAGCGAUCCAUUCAAAGAGGGUUAGAUAAUGGUGGACUGAUGGGUUGCUGAUCAAUUCUGUGAUUAUUGCACAGAUACUUCAAAGGAAGGUUGCUGCAUGGGAGAACAUCAGUGUUGAUGGCAUAGAUUGAACAUUCAGCAGUUAAAUAAAAUUGAUUGCUGUUGGUGCAACUUAAGAUAAUAUCAAGGAAUCUACUGGGUAGAAGACUAGCUAUUAAGAGUGUGGUGAAGAAAUAGAUGAUCGUUAAGUGAUUUGGAAAAGGAUAUUAAGAAUAGUAAAGAUGGAGAGUCUGAUUAUGAACCAGCAAGGGAUUCACUUUCAUCUCAAGGAGAAACUGCAACUAAUGAUGACAACAAGGUAAAAAAGCGUCAAGGGUUCCAAAGAAGCUUUCAAAAAGAGAACCUUCUGAGAAUAGUACUCACACCUUGAGAGGAAGUGCUAAUCGUUAAGGAGAUGGUAGACUAAUGUUCAAAACAUCAUGAGUCAAAAGAAGUCUCAAAAGCCUGUCAGAGAACCAAUAUCAAUGAAAACUCCUACCAAUAAAAGGGAGAAUAUAAUUGUUUCUUCCACCACUUCAUCAGAAGUGUCUGAAGAAACUGAGGACAAAACAAUUGAAGAGGUUAAGGAAAUAGAUGUGAUGGAUGAGGCUCCUGUGUGCAGUCAGAGUAAUCGUACAGCUGAUGAAACAGUUGAAGAGAAUGCCAUCAAUGAUGACAAGGUGAAUGCAUAUCAAAAGAUUGAGGAGAUAGAUUCCAGAGCGAAAAACUUGAGGAAGAACUCAGAGAAGUUGCUGCUCUUGAGACAACUCUCUAUUCUGUUGUACCAGAGCAUGGAAGUUCAGCACAUAAUGUUCACACUUCCACUUGGCGUCUUUGUAGGCUAUAUAUUCAUGCUUGCAAAUAUUGGACUCAGGACAAGAAGGCUACAAUUGCAAAAAAUACAGUGGCAGGACUUGUACAUAUUGCAAAACCCUGCGGUAAUGAUGUUUCAAGACAUUGGCACCCCACAUGCAAAUGCCAGUGGAGGACUUGUACACACCAAGAAUCUCAGGAAAAUUGCUAGGAUCAUCACUGGCUGAUCAGUAGCAAGGAAGUUUUUCUACCAAUUUAUGGAAAAGUGCAUUUCAUGAUGCUUUCAGUAGAAUAUGUCCAGUCCGUGCUGGAGGCCAUGAGUGUGGCUGCUUACCUGUAUUGGCGAGAACGGUAUGUUUAGCUAUCAUUCAUCAUCCAUUUGUCAUCAUCAUCAUUAAUAACAAAAGUUGUGCUGCCCAACUAUGUAGGAUCUUAGAUCUAUAGUUGUCAAAAUUGAUACGAGGAUCGCAAUUUGGCUGUAUAGGAUUUGAUAGGAUCCAUGAAAUCGGAACCAGUGAGGAAAUAAGAAAAUAAAAAAGCUAUAAUAAGAAGAAUACCUAAUAUGUGUCAUUACAUAUCUAAUUAUUUAAUAUACAAAUAAUGCAACAAUUUUAAUAAAAAUUAUUAAAUAAUAAAAAUAUAUUUCAACAAACAAUAAAAUUAUAAUUUUAAUAUAAAAAUAUCAAUAACAACUAACCUAUUAGUGUUAUUAUUUAAUGUUCUAUGUUAUAAGGGUUAGUCAAUUUUUAAUUAAGGACAAUUGUAGAAUAUUAUUGUAUUCUUUCUUGAUCCACAAUAACCUAUCUUGUUCUAAUUACCUUACUCGAUCGAUAGUAAGAGAAAGAAGUGUCGAGUCUAAAAGGUGAUGGGAAGGUUGGAUGAAUGAUCCUUGAUCUUGUAGUGAAUCUAAAGUUUGAUAUAGAUUACUAAUACUAAAUUGUUAGUGUUUAAUGUUGUAGUGGUUUAAAGUUUUAAUUAAGGAGGCACAAUUUUUGGAUUAUUGUAGAUUGAGAGAUAUUAUUAUGUUCUUUCUCCAUCCAUAAAAACCUAUCUUGUUUUGUAAACCUCCCUCGAUGAAUAGUAAACAAGAGACAGAAGGGUGAAGUGUUGCGUCCAAAAGGUGAUGGAAAGGUUGAACGAAUGAUCCUUGAACUUGUGGAGAAUCUAGAGGUGUGAAAAGGCUAAUCAACGAAGACUUUCUUCUUUCCAUGUGAGUUCUUUAUAAAUCAAGCUAAGAUUCAAGGGAAAGUUAGAUAAGUCAAGCCAUCUCAAUUUAUCCCGAUUCCAACUUGAUUGCGUCAGACCAAAUUUCAAUAGAUUCUAUCAAUCUUUUGAUGUAAUAUAACUGGUUUGUAGUUAAUUUUUUGAAUUCUCAAUGUUAGUAUCAGUUGAUUAGCCCUCCAUCAUGCUUUAUGUCAUUAUGUGAGGCUAUAUCACUAGUAAUAUUUCAAUCAAUUUUCUUAUAUAUUAAGUUUUAUUUGGCCUCUCUUUACACUUUUCACCACCCAUUCAAAUUUUCAACUAUUGAAUUGAUUGAUUAUUUUUGGACAUAUUUAUAAAAUCUCUUGGAGAGGUAUCUAAUUGCUCUUGGUUAUUUAUUUUUUUUAUCAUUCUUAGUAACGUGAGACAUCCGUUCUUAUAUUGCUGCUAACCCUUUUUUUCUUCUACAUGUUGCAUGGUCCAACACUCCAAUGUCUUUUUCAAAACACCUUAUAGAUUCCAGUUGUCAUGGUUCUUUUGUGUUUUGCCUUGAGUGAUUCUGGCAUCAGUUAUUCACUUUUGAACAAAUUUAUGGACGAUAAAUCUCUCGUAUCCCUAGGUGAUGGAGUUAUGCAUAUCCAGAUUAGAUGUUGCCAUGUUCAAUACCCAAGAGUCUAGCCAAUCCCAGCUGGGAAUUUAAGCUUUGGAUCCUGAUACGGCGAGUAUUAAAAGCUACCAUCGAUGCAAAAGGAGGUCAAAAUGGUAUGCUGAGUUAGGUCAAAGUCACUCAUACCAGAGUCGGCUGACAAUCUUCCAAAGUCGACCGUUCGACCAUCCGGUCGUCCGGCCAAUCGACUGAUCGAUCAAGCAGGCCAACCAGACUUCUUGGCUAAGUAGACCAGGACCGCCCAAACCAAGGCGGCUUGACCAGGGCUGCCUAGACCAGGGCCUCCCGACACUUCCAGAGCCGAGCCAAUCCAUUGAAAGCCCAUUAGACUGAUGGGCUUGUCACCCCUCUUUUUGUCUCAUCUACUGACAUUUAGAUAGAGGUAACAUGACCUCUAACAUAUUUGUCUGGAGGAGACCCUCUGACACUUAGACAAGGGUAUCAUGACCUCUAACAUCUUUUGUCUUGACAUGACCCUCCUAUAAAAAAAGUCCGUCCCGUGGAUAGGAGGGGAGAGAAAAAGGAAAAAAAAAAGGAGGCGAGAGGGGGAAAAAGGGAAAGAGACUCCUUACUGCAUACACUUAUUUUGUUAUUUAUUCUCUUGUACUAUUCAUUUUCUUGAUACAGGAGAUCAUCAGAAAGUGACUUGAGCGGUGACGACUAAUAUUACGACCUGCUCACUGAUCUACUAGAGGGUGUCCCCCGGGCUAGGGCACGUUUCUAAGGCGUAUUCUUCAUGCAUUUCGUUACUCUACCAUUGAACUUGCUCCUUGUAUAUUUUUGGGACCGACCUCGAGCAUCGGCAUGCAAGGCUGGGGCAAGCCCGGUUUGUUUGUAGAUUCUUCCAGCGACGAGGAUAGCUCACCCCCUCCUCUUGGUUUCUAGCUUAAAGUCUUCUCAUGGUCAACUCCAGCACCACAUUAUCGGCGGUCCACUCUUCUUAGCUUCGGACGGGAUUAGAUCCGCUGCACAACUAAAAAGUUCUUGCAGGUAGGAAAUUGGUCUGGAUGGUUAACAGAGGUACUUGGUUUGGAUGAUGAUGAUGAUUAACAGAAAGAUGACCGGGACACCAAUGAGAGUGAUAACGCUUACCUUCUUAAUCAAUGAUGGUUAACAGAGGUACUAGUUUUAGCCUUUCUGUAUGACUAGUUAUUUUGGCUAUGGAUUUUGCUGUGUCUUUUCAUU
RNA transcript from Zingiber officinale, 6069 nucleotides. RefSeq lists it as uncharacterized. Lineage: Eukaryota; Viridiplantae; Streptophyta; Magnoliopsida; Zingiberales; Zingiberaceae. The transcript is spliced from 3 exons. The record is from RefSeq and is a predicted model, not a curated record.